GAAAUAAUAGGUUUUUAACCUUAAGGAACAAGAAGAGAGCAGAGUGGUUCAGGGAACAAACGGGUGUUAAGGACAACUUAGUCGAAAUCAAGAAGAAAUGGCCAUGGGCAGGGCAUGUGGCGCGUAGGCAAGAUAACCACUCGUCAUUGGGAGUAACAAACUGGAUUCCAAGAGAAGGCAAACGAGCGACGGGUAGACAGAAAGUUACGUGGGCAGAUGAGAUUGAGAAGUAUAACGUGGCAGCAGCAAGCACAGGACAGGGUUGAUUGGCGGAACAUGAGAGAGGCUUUUGCCCUGCAGUGGGCGCAGUCAGGCUGAUGAUGACGAUAAUGAUGAUGAUGAUGAUGAUGAUGAUCAGAAGUAGAACUUCAGUAUAAACCUAAGGUGUUCGUUAUUUUCAAAAACCUUUUUUUAUAUUUGACAGUGCUAAAACUGUUCAAAGUGACUCGGUUAUUUGCUUUCUUUGUUCUUAAGCAGGACGCACCUUAUUUGCUUUCGUUUUCAGAUGGCGCCAGCUGCACUUCUCUUACUUAGAAAACUUGGGAAUCCCCGGUCCUGAACCCAGUCUGCUGUGGGGAAACAUCCGCGAGUAUCACGAAAUGCAUCAUUACAAGGUCAUUGGCAAGUGGUUGGAAAAGUACGGCGACACCUUUGGAUUUUACGACGGAGAUGUACCCUUUAUAGUGACAAGAGAAUUGGACUUCUUGGAAUAUAUCUUUGUUCGCAACUUUCAAAACUUCACGGCUCGCGGGGUAGGUAUUACG
This is a long non-coding RNA of Rhipicephalus sanguineus (brown dog tick), 764 nucleotides long. RefSeq lists it as uncharacterized. The transcript is spliced from 3 exons. The record is from RefSeq and is a predicted model, not a curated record. Lineage: Eukaryota; Metazoa; Arthropoda; Arachnida; Ixodida; Ixodidae.